RNAcentral lists this ribosomal RNA (562 nucleotides) under Salmonella enterica subsp. enterica serovar Typhimurium. RNAcentral's name for it is "partial 23S ribosomal RNA". It matches the Rfam family "Bacterial large subunit ribosomal RNA", at positions 2248 to 2809 of the family's 2925-position model. The record is from RNAcentral. Lineage: Bacteria; Pseudomonadati; Pseudomonadota; Gammaproteobacteria; Enterobacterales; Enterobacteriaceae.
CGGACAGUGUCUGGUGGGUAGUUUGACUGGGGCGGUCUCCUCCUAAAGAGUAACGGAGGAGCACGAAGGUUGGCUAAUCCUGGUCGGACAUCAGGAGGUUAGUGCAAUGGCAUAAGCCAGCUUGACUGCGAGCGUGACGGCGCGAGCAGGUGCGAAAGCAGGUCAUAGUGAUCCGGUGGUUCUGAAUGGAAGGGCCAUCGCUCAACGGAUAAAAGGUACUCCGGGGAUAACAGGCUGAUACCGCCCAAGAGUUCAUAUCGACGGCGGUGUUUGGCACCUCGAUGUCGGCUCAUCACAUCCUGGGGCUGAAGUAGGUCCCAAGGGUAUGGCUGUUCGCCAUUUAAAGUGGUACGCGAGCUGGGUUUAGAACGUCGUGAGACAGUUCGGUCCCUAUCUGCCGUGGGCGCUGGAGAACUGAGGGGGGCUGCUCCUAGUACGAGAGGACCGGAGUGGACGCAUCACUGGUGUUCGGGUUGUCAUGCCAAUGGCACUGCCCGGUAGCUAAAUGCGGAAGAGAUAAGUGCUGAAAGCAUCUAAGCACGAAACUUGCCCCGAGAUGAGU